Molecule: transfer RNA, 81 nt
Filed under: Streptococcus pneumoniae
Lineage: Bacteria; Bacillati; Bacillota; Bacilli; Lactobacillales; Streptococcaceae
Description: tRNA-Tyr
Rfam family: tRNA
About the family: Transfer RNA (tRNA) molecules are approximately 80 nucleotides in length. Their secondary structure includes four short double-helical elements and three loops (D, anti-codon, and T loops).
Source: RNAcentral
GGAAGAGUAGCGAAGAGGCUAAACGCGGCGGACUGUAAAUCCGCUCCUUCGGGUUCGGGGGUUCGAAUCCCUCCCCUUCCA